Molecule: ribosomal RNA, 463 nt
Filed under: uncultured bacterium
Lineage: Bacteria
Description: partial 16S ribosomal RNA
Rfam family: Bacterial small subunit ribosomal RNA
Source: RNAcentral
CUACGGAUGCACCAGUGGGGAAUAUUGCACAAUGGGCGCAAGCCUGAUGCAGCCAUGCCGCGUGUAUGAAGAAGGCCUUCGGGUUGUAAAGUACUUUCGGCGGGGAGGAAGGGAGUAAAGUUAAUACCUUUGCUCAUUGACGUUACCCGCAGAAGAAGCACCGGCUAACUCCGUGCCAGCAGCCGCGGUAAUACGGAGGGUGCAAGCGUUAAUCGGAAUUACUGGGCGUAAAGCGCACGCAGGCGGUUUGUUAAGUCAGAUGUGAAAUCCCCGGGCUCAACCUGGGAACUGCAUCUGAUACUGGCAAGCUUGAGUCUCGUAGAGGGGGGUAGAAUUCCAGGUGUAGCGGUGAAAUGCGUAGAGAUCUGGAGGAAUACCGGUGGCGAAGGCGGCCCCCUGGACGAAGACUGACGCUCAGGUGCGAAAGCGUGGGGAGCAAACAGGAUUAGAUACCCGGGUAGUC